CUGUGUUUAGGAUGACUCAGGGUUAAACUGUCAACCCUGAUUAGAUCAUCCAAAUCGUGCUCAACUCAAACAGUCCUGUGACUCCUCACAAAGACUACCCUGGUCAAGGUUUUGCUAAAUUGAAAUAUGACUGUACAUAGCUCCUAAACUGAAGUGGUAAAUCCCAUCUUGACACACGCACCGAUAAGUCAAGUACUUGACUACACCCAGCAGCCUUCCGUCAUUGAAUUAGAAAUUCAGGUAGUCCAGUGCCUAAGUGUAGUGAGUUGCUUGCAAGUCACCAUGGCGGUCUC
Molecule: long non-coding RNA, 293 nt
Filed under: Elaeis guineensis (African oil palm)
Lineage: Eukaryota; Viridiplantae; Streptophyta; Magnoliopsida; Arecales; Arecaceae
Description: long non-coding RNA (EGUI_LNC039782)
Source: RNAcentral